UGAUUCUGAAAUAAACUAAAUUAUGAUCAAUGAGAAUUAUGGAUAGAGAGAGAAAGAGAGCCAGACACAGAAAAAUGAAGGGAGCUUGAAUAUCAGUAGGUCACAGGAGUUUCAGUUCCGCUUAACAUAACAAGAACUUAUAAUGAAAGCAUAUACUACAACAUCAAUGAUAAAUGACAAGGAUAAAAACUGCCUAAAAAUACACGGAUAAUUUGAAACCUGGAGUAAAGAAUCAAAAACACACGGGAAAAAUGAGAAAGGGACCAUGAUCAUUAGUUUAUUCUCACUAGUUUGAUUUUACUUCAGUUAUGGAGAAUUAAGAAAGCUAAUUCAAAUUAAUCUACAUAUCAGAUUCAGGGCAUCUAAUCUUACAGUUUUUCUUAAAUUUUUUCCCUUUCCUGUUACUGUUAUUUAUUUAUUCAUCUCUUGCAAGAUCUGCUCCCCAUCGUGCAAUGACAAAUUA
This 463-nucleotide unclassified non-coding RNA is filed under the name Hevea brasiliensis (rubber tree). The record is from RNAcentral. Lineage: Eukaryota; Viridiplantae; Streptophyta; Magnoliopsida; Malpighiales; Euphorbiaceae.